RNAcentral lists this ribosomal RNA (457 nucleotides) under uncultured Acidovorax sp. Its description in RNAcentral is "bacterial SSU rRNA". It matches the Rfam family "Bacterial small subunit ribosomal RNA", at positions 923 to 1382 of the family's 1533-position model. The record is from RNAcentral. Lineage: Bacteria; Pseudomonadati; Pseudomonadota; Betaproteobacteria; Burkholderiales; Comamonadaceae.
GCACAAGCGGUGGAUGAUGUGGUUUAAUUCGAUGCAACGCGAAAACCUUACCACCUUUGACAUGUACGGAAUCCUUUAGAGAUAGAGGAGUGCUCGAAAGAGAGCCGUAACACAGGUGCUGCAUGGCUGUCGUCAGCUCGUGUCGUGAGAUGUUGGGUUAAGUCCCGCAACGAGCGCAACCCUUGUCAUUAGUUGCUACAUUCAGUUGGGCACUCUAAUGAGACUGCCGGUGACAAACCGGAGGAAGGUGGGGAUGACGUCAAGUCCUCAUGGCCCUUAUAGGUGGGGCUACACACGUCAUACAAUGGAUGGUACAAAGGGUCGCCAACCCGCGAGGGGGAGCCAAUCCCAUAAAGCCAUUCGUAGUCCGGAUCGCAGUCUGCAACUCGACUGCGUGAAGUCGGAAUCGCUAGUAAUCGUGGAUCAGAAUGUCACGGUGAAUACGUUCCCGGGUCUU